This 8388-nucleotide long non-coding RNA is filed under the name Hordeum vulgare. RNAcentral's name for it is "long non-coding RNA (HVUL_LNC015464)". The record is from RNAcentral. Lineage: Eukaryota; Viridiplantae; Streptophyta; Magnoliopsida; Poales; Poaceae.
UCAUGCUAGUUUCAUCAUGUUCAUAUGAUUCGCGUUCUUUACUUUGAUAGUUUGAUAUGUGGGUGGACUGGUGCUUGGGUACUGCCGUUACAUGGACAAGCAUCCCACUUAUGAUUAAUCUCUCUUGCAAGCAACCGCAACUACAAAAGAAGAAUUAAGACAAAGUCUAACCAUGGCAUUAAACUAGUGGAUCCAAAUCAGCCCCUCACGAAGCAACGCAUAGACUGGGGUUUAAGCUUCUGUCACUCGAGCAACCCAUCAUCUACUUACUACUUCCCAAUGCCUUCCCCUAGGCCCAAAUAUGGUGAAGUGUUAUGUAGUCGAUAUUCACGUAACACCACUAGAGGAAAAGACAACAUACAACAUAUCAAAAUACCGAACGAAUAUCAAAUGCACAUGACUAUUAUUAACAUGACUUAUCCCAUGUCCUUAGGAACAAAAGUAACUACUCACAAAACAUAAUCAUAAUCAUGAUCAGAGGUGUAAUGAAUAGCAUCAAGGAUCUGAACAUAAACUCUUCCACCAAAUAAUCCAACUAGCAUCAACUACAAAGAGUAAUCAACACUACUAGGAACCUUACAAGUACCAAUCGGAGUUGCAAGACGAAGAUUGGUUACAAGAGAUGAAAUAGGGAUUGGAGAGGAGAUGGUGCUGAUGAAGAUGUUGAUGAAGAUGCCUCCCCUCCGACAAGAGGAGUGUUGGUGAUGACGAUGGCGACGAUUUCCCCCCUCCGGGAGGGAAGUUUCCUCGGCACGAUCGUCCUGCCGGAGCUCUAGAUUGGAUCUGCUCAAGUUCCGCCUUGUGGCGGCCGCGAAACCACGAAAAAGCUCCCUAUUGAUUUUUUUUACAGACCAGGACGCUUCAUAUAGCAAAAGAGGGGGGCUAGUGGGCUGUCAGGCAGCCCACAAGCUUGCCCUGCCCCACCAGGGGGGUGGUGGCGGUGGGUAGGCUUGUGGAGCCCUGGUGGCCCCCCUCCGGUAGUUCUUUCACCCAGUAUUUUUUUGUAUAAUCCAGAAAAAAUCAGUGUAACUUUUCAGGGCAUUUGGAGAUGUGCAGAAUAGUGGACUAGGAUUUGCUCCUUUUCCAAUCCAGAAUUCCAGCUGCGUGAAUUCUCCUUCUUCAAAUAAACCUUGCAAAAUAAGAGAGAAAAGGCAUAAAUAUGGUACCACAAGUAAUAUAAAAGCCCAAAAAGCAAUAAAUAUCAACAUGAAAGCAUGAUGCAAAAUGGACGUAUCAACUCCCCCAAGCCUAGACCUCACUUGUCCUCAAGUGAAAACCAAGUUCCAUAAACAUGUCCACAUGUUGAGGGAUGAAGGUGUCGAUAAAACAUAAUACGGACUUGAGGGCAUCAUGAUCACACAUAGAACAACAAUACAUCAUAAAGUUUCUUAUGGGAAAGUAACAAUUCCUUCACAAAGCAAAGCAUGAAGCAAAAACCUUACCGAGAAGUAACCAACAAUAGUCCAUAGUCAUUGAAGCAAUUGCAAUUUAUCACAACAUCAGAAAGAGUCAACUAAGAGCUUGUAAGGCAAACCCACAUACUCAAUCAUCUCUUUUGUUUUCCACAAUUGUUACAACUCAUGUGGUGCUCAUGGUGUCAAAGUUUCAGCUGGACAUAGAGGAAGAUAGGGGCUUAUAGUUUUGCCUCCCAACCAUUUACCUCAAGGGUAAAGUCAAAAAUAAUAAAGCAUGAGUACUCAACUCCAAGUUGAUAUAUGAAUAUAGAUCUUUCCCAAACAUGUGACGGUAGCCAAGACAAAGGCAAAAAUAGGGAAUUGGUGUUGAUCACCAUGACUCUUACAAGGGUAAAAAGUAAAGGUACAAGAUAGGCCCUUUGCAGAGGGAAGCAGAGGUUGUCAUGCGCUUUUGAGGUUUGAAUGCGUGUCCUCUUAGUGUGGAGGAACGUCACCUUAUAUUGCCUCCGGUGAUAAAGAACUUUAUUAUGCAGUCUGUGCUUUUAUGUCUUCCUCAUCACAGGUUCGUACAACGCUUAUUUUCAACACACUAAUAGAUCAUACAUAUUAGAGAGCAAUUUUUAUUUCUUGCACCGAUGACAACUUACUUGAAGGAUCUUAUUCAAUCCAUAGGUAGGUAUGGUGGACUCUCAUGGCAAAACUGGGUUGGAGGUUUAUGGAUGCACAAGUAGUAUCUCUACUUGGUGCGGGAGUUUUGGCUAAUAUGAGGUGGAAGCAAUUGUCACAUGCUAAGGGAUCUCUAAUCAUAUAACAUUGUUUGGAACCAAGCAAACACAAUUCAUUAUGUUGUCUUCCUUCUCCAACAUCUACUCCUAGGCAUGUAAUAGUUUGGUGAGUGCUCACAAUUGUAAAAAGUGUCUAAGAUGAUAUAUUUAUAUGUGAACCUCUCUUUCCUUAUUACUUCUUAUUAAUUGCAACAAUGACUAAUGUCUAUGUUGAUUUAUUCUCAACAAGUUUCAAUCAUCAUACGUGUCAUAAGUGAUGUUAUCACUUUCCAUAAGAUCGUCUCAUGAUCUUUCAUGCUAUCGUUCUUUUCAUACUUUUGAUCAUGGCACAAAGCAAAGCCCUUGACUAAGACACUCUUUAUUAUAUAGCUCGUAAGCUGAAUACAUCGGGGGAGAGACAAAAGAAAAAGAAUCAAACUAAAAACUAAAGACUUAUUCCUCUAAAAGAAGAAAUAAAAACCGAAAAAGGAAAGAACUAAAACAAAGGUAAAAGCAAAAUAUAUAAAGGUGAUACGAUACCAGGGCAACUCCCCCAAGCUUGGCAGAAGCCAAGGGGAUUGCCCAUACCAAUGCUUAGUUGUCUUCAUUUGGUGGUGAUGGUGGUGUUGUUGGAGCAGUCUUCAGCUUGUCUAAUUUCCACUUGAGAAAAAAGUUCUGCUGCCUUUGAAUCUUGAGAAGACAUCUUGUCCUAGAUCUGCGUCAGAACAAGCUCCAAACGAAAACAGAGGAAAACUGCGCGAUACAGAGAUCAAAACCUUCGGGCGACUAUAUAUUGAUUUUUUCUGGGCCAGAAGGAGUCCUCCGCAAGAAAACGAAGUCCGGGAGGCACACAAGGUGCCCACAAGCUUCCCCUCCGCCACCAGGGGGGUAGGGGGCGGUGGCAGGGCUUGUGGCCGCCUCGUUUGCUCUCCGGACUGCUUUUUAUUUUUCUAAUUUUCCAAAAAUUCCAAAACGGAAGAAAUUUCCUAUUGGAAAAGUAUCGGAGUCCAAUUUCUUACCGAAACAGAUACAUCUUCGUUUUCAAGGUCUGAAACAGGCUGAUAAACAUCCCUUAUGUACUCCUCUCGAGUUAUGACAUUGAUAAUAUUGGUCUCAACAUUUAUGGGAGUACCAGAGAUGUAAUGCUUGAUUCUUUGCCCAUUUACCACUCUAGGAAAAUUUCCUUCCGCAUUAUAGAUUUUGAUGGCACUGGAACGAUAUACUUCCUCGACAACAUAGGGACCUUCCCAUUUAGAGAGAAGCUUGCCUGCAAAGAAUCUCAAACGAGAAUUGUAUAGCAAGACAUAAUCACCUACAUUGAACUCUCGUUUCUGUAUUCGUUUGUCGUGCGAUCUCUUAACCUUUUCCUUGAACAACCUAGCAUUCUCGUAUGCCUAGGCUCUCCAUUCAUCCAACGAGCUGAUAUCAAACAACCGCUUCUCACCGGCAAGUUUGAAAUCAAAGUUGAGCUCUUUGAUUGCCCAAUAAGCUUUGUGUUCCAUCUCAAGAGGUAAAUGACAGGCCUUACUGUAAACAUUUUAUAUGGUGACAUGCCCAUGGGAUUCUUAUAAGCAGUCCUAUAAGCCCAUAGUGCAUCGUCAAGUUUGCUAGACUAGUUCUUUCGAGAUCUAUUGACAGUCUUUUGUGGGAUCAACUUGAUCUCCCUAUUACUCAACUCCACUUGACCACUAGACUGAGGAUGAUAAGGAGAUGCAACUCUAUGGUUGACAUCAUACUUAGCUAGCAUCUUGCGGAAAACAUCAUGAAUGAAGUGUGAACCGCCAUCGGUCAUCAAGUAUCUAGGGACACCAAAUCUUGGGAAUAUGACUUCUUUAAGCAUCUUAAUAGAGGUGUGGUGAUCAGCAUUUUUAGUGGGGAUAGCUUCCACCCACUUAGUAACGUAAUCCACAGCAACUAAGAUGUGAGUGUACCCAUUGGAACUCAGGAAGGGUCCCAUGUAAUCAAAGCCCCAGACAUCAAAUGGUUCAAUGACAAGUGAAUAGUUCAUAGGCAUUUCCUGACGCUUACUGAUGUUCCCUAUCCUUUGGCAUUCGUCACAAGACAAGACAAACUUACGGGCAUCCUUGAAGAGAGUGGGCCAAUAGAAACCUGAUUGCAAUACCUUAUGGGCAGUUCUAUCUCCACCAUGGUGUCCUCCGUAGGCUUAGGAAUGACACUUCUACAAGAUUUGUCCUUGUUCAUGUUCAAGCACACAACGUCUAAUAACACCAUCUACUCCUUCCUUAUAAAGGUGAGGAUCAUCCAAAAAUAGCGUCUCAAAUCAAAGAACAAUUUCUUGUUUUGUUGAUAGGUGAAACUGGGUGGUACGUAUCUGGCUACGAUAUAGUUUGCAUAAUCGGCAUACCACGGUGCACUAAGUGAAGUGCGGAUGACAUUUAGUUGCUCAUCAGGAAAGCUGUCAUCAAUUGGUAGUGGGUCAUCAAGGACAUUCUCUAGCCUAGACAAGUUAUCUGCUACAUGGUUAUCAGCACCCUUUCGGUCAAUGACGUGCAAAUCAAAUUCAUGUAGCAGGAGAACCCAUCAAAUAAGCCUAGGCUUAGCAUCCUUCUUCUCCAUGAGGUACUUAAUAGCAGCAUGAUCAGAGUGAAUAGUGACUAUGGAGUCAACUUUGUAAGAUCUGAACUUUUCACAUGCAAACACGACUGCUAAAAAUUCCUUCUCUCUAGUAGCAUAGUUUCUUUGGGCACUGUCUAGAGUUUUACUAGCGUAGUGAAUGACAUUCAACUUCUUGUCAACUCUUUGUCCUAGAAUAGCACCAACAACAUUAUCACUAGCGUCGCACAUGAUUUCAAAGGGCAAGUUCCAGUCACGUGGUUGAACAAUAGGUGCGGUUAUCAAAGCCUUCUUAAGUAUUUCAAAAGCUUCCUCACAAUCCUCAUCAAAAACAAAAGGAACAUCCUUCUGCAAGAGGUUGGUAAGAGGCCUAGAAAUCUUAGAGAAGUCUUUAAUGAACCUUCUAUAUAAACCAGCAUGACCUAGGAAACUUCGUAUACCUGUGAUAUCUGUGGGGCAAGGCAUUUUCUCAAUUGCAUCAACCUUAGCCUUAUCAACUUCAAUGCCUCUUUCAGAGAUUUUGUGUCCUAAGACGAUACCUUCAUUAACCAUAAAGUGACACUUCUCCCAAUUCAAGACGUGAUUGGUUUCUUUGCAUCUCUGUAAGACUCGAUCAAGGUUGCUGAGGCAAUCAUCAAAGGAAGACCCGUAAACAGAGAAGUCAUCCAUGAAAACCUCGACGAUCUUUUCACAAAAGUCAGAGAAUAUAGCCAUCAUACAUCUUUGGAAGGUGGCAGGUGCAUUACAUAAGCCAAAAGUCAUACGUCUAUAGGCAAAGGUACGGAAAGGGCAGGUGAAAGUGGUUUUCUCUUGAUCAGAUUGUGCAACAGGUAUUUGCGAGAAACCUGAAUAACCGUCUAGAAAGCAGAAGUGUGUGUGCUUUGAUAGCCUUUCUAGCAUUUGGUCGAUGAACGGCAAAGGAUAAUGAUCUUUCCUGGUUGCCUUGUUCAGUUUCGGAAGUCUAUCACCAUUAUAGCCGGUAAUAAUCCUUUGUGGGAUUAGUUCAUCCUUAUAAUUAGGAAUGACGGUGAUACCUCCCUUCUUAGGUACGCAAUGUACUCUACUUACCCAAUCACUAUGAGCAACAGGAUAAAUGAUUCCUGCUUCCAGAAGCUUUAAUAUUUCUUUUCUAACGACCUCUUUCAUCUUAGGAUUUAAUCUCCUUUGAUGAUCAGCAACUGGUUUAAAGUCAGGAUUGGUUUUAAUCUUGUGCUAAUAUAGAGUAGGACUAAUACCCUUAAGAUCAUCAAGAGUAUAUCCAAUAGCAGCGCGGUGCUUCCUCAGAGUUUUUAGUAACUUCUUCUCUUCGCGCUCUGAGAGGAGAGCACUAAUAAUGACAUGAUAUAUCUCCUUCUCAUCCAGAUAGUCAUACUUAAGAGUAUCAGGCAACUGUUUAAGCUCAAACACAGGAUCACCCUUUGGUGGGGAGGAUCCCCAAGAAGUUCAACAGGCAGAUUAUUCUUGUGAAUAGGAUAUUAUUCUAAGACAAUUUUAUCUAUCUCAUCUCUCUCCUCCAUAUGCAUAUCAUUUUCGUGCUCAAGCAGAUAUUGCUGUAAAGGAUCCGUAGGAGGUACGGCAAUAAAGGCAAGAGCAAUGAUUUCAUCUCUACCAGACGACUCUCUUUCAUGGGUUUGUCUUCCAAACUUGGGGAAGUUAAAUUCAUGAGACACACCCUCGAAACUAACUGUGACAGUCUGCUUAAUGAAAUCAAUGUGAGCAUUGACAGUGUUGAGAAAGGGUCUACCAAAUAUGAUGGGACAAAAGCUAUCUCGUGCAGUACCAAGGACGAGGAAAUAAGUAGGAUACUUCGUCUUACCACACAGGACUUCUACGUCUCUCACAAUUCCCAGAGGGCAGAUAGUGUCUCUAUUAGCUAGCGUAAUAGUGACAUCAAUGGGUUCUAACUCAGCAGGUGCAAUCUCAUCUUUGAUUUCAUCAUAUAGAGAACGGGGUAUUGCACUAACACUAGCUCCCAUAUCACAUAAACCAUGGUAACAGUGAUCUCCUAUCUUAACAGAAACAACGGGCAGGCCAACUACAGGUCCGUGUUUGUCUUCGCGUGAGGUUUAGCAAUUCUAGCGGAGUCCUCACAUAAUUUGAUAACAUGCCCAUCUAUGUCUUCAGCUAAGAGAUCUUUGAUAAUAGCAACACUAGGUUCAACUCUAAUCUCUUUAGGGGGUGCAAGUGGUCUAAUGUAACCCCUACGUAUCACAGUUGGAGCUUUAUAAUAAUCCUUUAUCCUAGUAGGGUAUAGCGGUUUCUCAGUGUAAGCACAAGGAACAACAGGAUCACUAAAAGCAAUGACUUUCUCCUCAACUAGAUUGGUUUUGUCUAUGUUGCUUUCUACAGGAGGAUGAUAUUUAAACCACUUCUCUUUGUGAAGAUCAACAUGAGCAGCAAAAGAUUCACAUAGAGAAGCAACUAUCUCAGAGUCAAGUCCAUACUUAGCGCUAAAAUCUCUAGAAGUGUUUGUCUCAACAAAAGAUUUAACGCAAUCAAACUGGAAAUUCAUACCUGACUCCUUACCUUCCUCCAGCUCCCAAUCUUCAGAGUUGCGUUUGAUUCUCUCCAAUAAAUUCCACUUGCGAUCAAUAUCCUUCUUCAUAAAAGAACCGGCACAAGAAGUGUAAAGCAUGGUACGAUCUUCAUGAGAAAGCCGAGCAUAAAAGUUUGGAGUGAUGAUUUCUCUCGAGAGCUCAUGAUUGGGGCAUGAAUAUAGCAUUGAUUUAAGUCUCCCCCAAGCUUGAGCUAUGCUUUCCCUGUCACGAGGCCAAAAGUUAUAAAUAAAAUUCCGAUCACGAUGUACUAAAUGCAUAGGAUAGAACUUUUGAUGAAAUUCCAAUUUCAACCGAUUGUAGCCCCAUGAUCCAGUAUCAUCACAUAGCCUAUACCAUCUCAACGCCUUAUCCUUCAAAGAUAAAGGAAAUAUUUUCUUCUUUACCUCAUGCCCGGGCAAACCUACAAGCUUAAAUAAACAACAAACUUCAUCUAUAUAGAUUAGAUGCAAGUCUGGAUGUGAAGAUCCAUCUCCUGUGGAAGGAUUAGCCAGCAGUUUCUCAAGCAUACCCGAAGGAAUUUCAUAAAAGAUAUUUUCAGUAGGUACCUCAGGUUGAGGAGCAACUUCUCGUGCUUCCGUUCGUGGUGAAGAUACCCCGAAAAAACUCCUCAAAGGAACAGUUUCCAUAGUGACAAGUGACAAUAAAUUUCAGCACAGUAUAAAAAUGUUGCCUUACCAAAUUCCACUUACCAAAGGCGCUUCACUCCCCGGAAACGGCGCCAGAAAAGAGUCUUGAUGACCCACAAGUAUAGGGUAUCAAACAUAGUCCUUUCUAUAAGUAAGAGUGUUGAACCCAACGAGGAGCACAAGGAUCUGAUAAACGGAUUUCAGCAAGGUAAUAACUGCAAGCACUGAAAGUAGCGGUAACAAGUGAUUUUGUAGCGAGGUGAAACNUCAUAUGAUUCGCGUUCGUUACUUUGAUAGUUUGAUAUGUGGGUGGACCGGCAGUUGGGUACUGCCAUUACUUGGACAAGCAUCCCACUUAUGAUUAAUCUCUCUCACAAGCAUCCGCAACUACAAAAGAAGAAUUAAGACAAAGUCUAACCAUAGCAUUAAACUAGUGGAUCCAAAUCAGCCC